CACACCCGGAAGCGCGCCCGCGAGCUCCUGGCAGGCUGGCCGGUGUCUGGGUACUACGCGGUAUGUGGGCCUCCGGCGCUGUCGGAGGGCCUCGGUAGUCGGUGGGGCUUACUCCGGGACCCUGGCGCUUCCCUCCCGGAAGUGGGGGCGUCUCCACCUCCAGCCUCACCCACCCGGCGUGGGGCCGUGGGCCCGUCGCCUCACCUCUCGGAGCCAGAGUUACUGCAGCUACGAAGUGGGGCAGUAGUCACAAGCCGGGCCUUCUUCCCAGGGACCUGGGAUGCUAUGCUGCUCUCCAUGAACUGGUCACUGAGUCUGUCUACCACAGCCCUUUCUGAAUCUUUGGCUGUCUGGAAGCUCCGCUGUGCUUCUUGCCAAGAUGAAGUGCGUCUUGGUGGCCACAGAGGGUGCAGACGUCCUCUUCUACUGGAUGGACGAGGAGUUUGAAGAGAGUCUGCGGCUGAAGUUUGGGCAGUCGGAGAAUGAGGGAGAAGGGCUUCCCGCCCUGGAGGACCAGCUCAGCACCCUCCUGGCCCCAGUCAUUAUCUCCUCUAUGACGAUGCUGGAGAAGCUCUCAGACACAUACACCUGCUUCUCGACGGAAAAUGGCAACUACCUGUACGUCCUUCACCUGUUUGGAGAGUGCCUGUUCAUUGCCAUCAAUGGAGACCACACCGAGGGCGAGGGGGACCUGCGGCAGAAGCUGUGCGUGCUCAAGUACCUUUUCGAGGUGCACUUCGGGCUGGUUACCAUGGACGGCCAGCUCAUCCGAAAGGAGCUGCGGCCCCCGGACCUGGGGCAGCGUGUGCAGGUGUGGGAGCACUUCCAGAGCCUGCUGUGGACCUACGGCCGCCUGCGGCAGCAGGAGCAGUGUUUCGCUGUGGAGGCUGUGGAGCGGCUGAUCCACCCUCAGCUAUGUGAGCUGUGCAUCGAGGUGCUGGAGCGGCACGUCGUCCAGGCCAUCAACUCCAGCCCUGGGCGGGCUGGCGAGGAGGCCCUGCAUGCCUUCCUGCUCGUGCACUCCAAGUUGCUGGCUUUCUACUCCAGCCACAGCGCCGGCUCCCUGCGCCCACCCGACCUCCUUGCCCUCAUCCUUCUGGUGCAGGACCUCUACCCCAGCGAGAGCAUGGCGGAGGACAGCGACACCCAGCCUUCCCCACAGAGGCCCCUCCGCAGCCAGAGCAUCCCCGUGCAGCAGGCCUGGAGCUCUUGUUCUGCAGACCCAACCAGGAGUUCUGCAGGGACUGAGACAGACAGCCUCUCCCUCCCUGAGGAGUAUUUCACACCAGCUCCUUCUCCCGGGGAGCAGAGUUCAGGUAGCACAGUCUGGCUGGAUGGGGGUACCCCUCCCACUGAUGAUCCCCAUGUCCAGAUGGCUGAGGACACCCUCCAGAUGCUGGUCCCUCGCUCCCCAGGACCCUCCAGCCCCAGAAGGAUUUUCCUGGAUGCCACCGUGAAAGAGAGCUACUGCCCCAUGGUGCCCCACACCAUGUACUGCCUGCCGCUGUGGCCAGGCAUCAACAUGGUGCUCCUGACCAAGAGCCCCAGUACGGCCCUGGCCCUGGCCCUGUACCAGCUGCUGGAUGGGUUUUCUCUACUGGAGAAGAAGCUGAAGGAGGGGCAGGAGGCCGGGAGUGCCCUGCGGUCCCACCCCCUCAUGGGGGACCUACGCCAGAGGAUGGACAAGUUUGUCAAGAAUCGAGGUGGGCAAGAGCUUCAGAGCACCUGGCUGGAGUUCAAGACCAAGGCCUUCUCCAGAAGUGAGCCCGGAUCAUCCUGGCAGCUGCUCCAGGCAUGCGGGAGGCUGAAGAGGCAGCUUUGCGCCAUCUACCGGCUCAGCUUCCUGACCACGGCUCUGGGCCGGGGAGGCCCCUCCCUGCCCCAGCACCUGCAGGACCAGGUCCAGACGCUCAUGCAAGAAAAGCUGGCAGACUGGAAGGACUUCCUGUUGGUGAAGGGCAGGAGGAAUGUCACCAUGGUGUCUGAGACCCUCACCUACCUGGAAGACUUCCCCGGCCUGGUGCAUUUCAUCUACGUGGACCGCACCACCGGCCAGAUGGUGGCCCCUUCCCUCAGCAGCACUGAAAGGACUUCAUCGGAGCUGGGCAGGGGGCCCCUGGCCACCUUCGUCAGAACCAAGGUCUGGUCUCUGAUCCAGCUGGCACGCAGAUACCUGCAGAAGGGCUACACCACGCUGCUGUGCCGCGAGGGGGACUUCUACUGCUCCUAUUUCCUGUGGUUCGAGAACGAGAUGGUGGGUGUGGCCAGCCCGGGGCAGGGCCGUCCCGAAAUGCUUGCUUUCCCUGUGACUCUUGGAUCCUUUUCUCCUGGAUUCUGUUCAGUCUGUGUCUCCAGCUCUUCUUGUCCCUGGUGGAGCUGACAGCUAAGCCCAGCUGGUUGGCACCCAGAACUCAGGUCCCGUUUGCGCUCAGGCCCCUCCACCCCAUUCUCUGAAAAUCUCAUGACAUUGAUUAAGGCAGCAUCCAGGUGACAUGUGAACAGAUGUGCGCCCGCGUGAGCAAGGCCGCCCAGCCCGCGCUUCCUCGGUGGUGUUUCAGUGGCAUCAGCUGCACUUACAGAGCCCGGCUCCCUGUUCCCAUUGUAGAGGCUGAUAAACCGAAGCUCAGAGCAGUUAACCAGCCUGCCCAGGGCAAGGCUAGCAGGAAGGCUCAGCUCUCUUGCGUCGGCCGUGUUGGCCAAACCUCACCAUUGCUGCAGUAUGAGCACGGGUCACGGGAGUUUAUUAUCUGUGUCCUCCCACCCCCUCGCGCUGUUGCUCUCCCUCACUGUCUCGCUCUGUGUCUCCCCUCUUUCCUCUGCUUUCGUUUCCUUUUUCUCUUCUUGUUUCCUCCUCACUUGUCACCCUUGGCCAUCAUUCCAGCUCUCUGAGGGCCAUUGCUUCUCCCUCCCACAUUCCCUUGGCCCCUCGUCCUGUCCUCUCCCCUGCUCGUGCCCUGCCCUCUCUCUGCCCCUGUCAGCGAGCCCUCCUUCCCCCCUUCCUGCACGGCACAGUGCAGCCGUCGGGGUCUCUCACUCUGUUCUCACGGCCUCACAUCCGCACAGCCCGUGUGAUGGUCGGAGCAGGUGUCACUGACCCCAUUUUGCAGAUGGAGACGCUGACGCCCUGAGAUCAGACACCAUGGCCAGGGCCACCGAGGUCCUAGGUGAUGAUGUCAGAACCCAGGCUCGGCUCUCCUGACCUGCAGGCUCCCAUCUUUGCUCUGUGCCUGCCUCAGAAGCGCCCAGGAUGUGGGUGUGACCAUCACCUUAGCUUCUAGGGAGGGACAGGGCUCCGUGUGUGUGUGUGUGUGUGUGUGCGUGUGUGUGUGUAUGUGUGUGUUUAGCCCCACAGGGCAGUAGGCUGUGGUGCGGGGAGACCCAGGUGUGAAGUCUGGCUGCAACUGGGCCGCCACCAAGUCCUCCUCCUCCCCUGUGCGGCAGGCCCGGUGAGCACAGUGCCGCAGGAGCCCCGUGAGGGCGCCUGGCACACAGUGGGAGCCCAACAGAGCUUGAGUACCUUCCCCGCCAUGUCCUGCCCUGGGAAUACCUGUUGCUUUCAGAGAGAGACUUGGCCUUUGGUAACGCUUUGUUCUUCAUGACACGUCCCCGGGUCGUCCUCCCUCACGUGUGCCUGUCGCUGACCCAGGUCCACUGGUUGAUGGGACUGAGAGCUACCAGGUGCCGGGCACGACACUCGGAACUUUACAUCCAUGUCUAAUGUUCUUUGGGAGUUUAUUCUUAUUCCUGCUUCACAGGGGUACAAACUCCAGAUCAUCGAGGUGCCUGUCCUGUCCGAUGACUCGGCUCCUGUCGGCAUGCUGGGAGGAGACUACUACAGGAAGCUCCUGCGCUACUACAGCAAGGGCCACCCGGCGGAGGCUGUCAGGUGC
Globicephala melas (long-finned pilot whale) is the source of this 3890-nucleotide RNA transcript. It is a transcript of the gene named HPS1 biogenesis of lysosomal organelles complex 3 subunit 1, with no coding region annotated. NCBI's taxonomy places the organism in Eukaryota, Metazoa, Chordata, Mammalia, Artiodactyla, Delphinidae. The record is from RefSeq and is a predicted model, not a curated record.